CCUACGGGUGGCUGCAGUCGAGAAUCAUUCACAAUGGGGGAAACCCUGAUGGUGCGACGCCGCGUGGGGGAAUGAAGGUCUUCGGAUUGUAAACCCCUGUCAUGUGGGAGCAAAUUAAAAAGAUAGUACCACAAGAGGAAGAGACGGCUAACUCUGUGCCAGCAGCCGCGGUAAUACAGAGGACUCAAGCGUUGUUCGGAAUCACUGGGCGGAAAGCGUGCGUAGGCUGUUUUGUAAGUCGGGUGUGAAAGGCGCGGGCUCAACCCGCGGAGGGCAGAUGAUACUGGGAGACUAGAGUAAUGGAGAAGGAACCGGAAUUCGCGGUGUAGCAGUGAAAUGCGUAGAUAUCGAGAAGAACACUCGUGGCGAAGGCAGGUUCCUGGACAUUAACUGACGCUGAGGCACGAAGGCCAGGGGAGCGAAAGGGAUUAGAUACCCCUGUAGUC
RNAcentral lists this ribosomal RNA (446 nucleotides) under uncultured bacterium. Its description in RNAcentral is "partial 16S ribosomal RNA". It matches the Rfam family "Bacterial small subunit ribosomal RNA", at positions 338 to 795 of the family's 1533-position model. The record is from RNAcentral.